CCAGCCUGGCCUCUUGUCCCCCAGCUCCCCUGUUACCACGUCGGGGGGGUGUCCCCUGGGGGAGGGCCAACCCCAGUGUGUCCACUCCUCCCCGGCCAAACUGGUCACCUCUGUCACCUCUGCUGCACCCGGCCCCUUCGUUGUCAGCGAGCUCCAUUCAGGGCUGAGCAAGAAUGGCCUCCAGGAUCCCACAAGGAAAGGCGGGGCUGCGGUUUGAACCCAGAUCUCUCCAGACUGUUCCACUACAACCCAUGGCUGCCCAUGAGAACCACCUGGAAAGCUUUGGACAACACCGAAACCCAGUUCCCAACCCCAGACCGCAAGUAGAGUCCCUGGUCAGGGGCCCCACCCAGCCCUGUGAUCCCAGCUCCACCAGCAGAGGCAGCAGAUCGGGGGUCCAGGGCCUCAGUGCACUCCCAUCCCCGUCGGGGUGCUCCGGCCCUGCUCCUCCACCCCUCAGCCCUGGCUCCCAGCACUCCAGACUCACACUUGGUUUUGGAGUCUUUGCCCAGGAGUAACCCCCAAACGUGUCCUGGUCCUUCCUACGGUGGCAGGCACUGGGGAACCCUCAGCUCUGAGUGUGGGAACACGUGCUGGGACUUAUCGGCGUGGUAGGUCCAGCCAGGUUUGAAGUUGGACAGGCCCACUCCCUGGAGAGACACCUGGUCCCAUGCACACACAAAGGCCACGGAGCCUGUUAGGUGGAGGCUCCUGGGGCCUCAGCUGCUCCGACCUCACCUCAGGAGGCUCAGCCGCUCUGACCCCACCCCCGCCACUUCCUGGCAGGAUGACCUUGGGAAGGCUGUUUUGCCUCAGUUUCCUCAUCUGUAAAAUGCCUAGAACGGCAGCUCCCUCAUGAGGAGGCUGAGACACCCCACGGUGUAACACAGGAAAGAUGCUGAGCUCUGCCGGUGUGGUGGGGAGCGAUGAGUGCUCCAGAAACGGUCCCCACGCUCCACUGUGUGCCGGAGCCUCUGCACUUGGGCCACCGUUUCCUGCGCCUUCUGUAGGAGCAGCAUGGCCUUGGCGCACGCUCGCCCUGCGUGAGCAUGGUGUCACUCUCCUCCCGUGCCGUCUCUUUCCCAUUUUAAACAUCUCCAAGGUUGACAGCAAAGGCUUCUGGGGCUCCAGGGUCACAGCCAAGGGCAGAUGAGAUCAAGUACAGCCACACUGCCACCCUUGUUCCCUUCAUUUUGUGAGACUUCGCCUCCGGCAAACACGAGGCCCAGAAUGUUCCACCAGGGUAGCAGCAGGUGCCCAGCUUGGGGAGGGAAGAGGCGCCGAGCGACCCCCCCAGCCCCUGCCCUGCGCAUGCCCCUUGUCUCCUCGAUGCGCCUCCCCCACCUCUACAGGGCCGGCAGCUGUGCUGGAGCCCAGACCUGAAACUGGAAGGAAAGAUGAUCCUCCACAGACUUCUCAUCAAUCCUUUUGCCGGGGUUUAAUCCCCCUGCAAUUCCUCCUGAAUGAGUUUCCUGUACCUGACAUCACCAGUGACCACAAACUAAGUGGCUUAAAGCAACAGAAAUGUACCCUCUCAUCAUCUGGAGCAGAAGUCAAAAUUCAAGGCAUCAGCAGGACCCCCGCCCUCUGGAGCUUCCAGGGAAGGAUCUUCGUUGACUCCUCCGGCUUCAGGGGGCUCCAGGCGUCCCUUGGUUCUAACCGCUGCCUCUGUGGUCUUGUGGCCGCCUUCCCUGGGUCCUCAGAUCCCCCCCUUGCAUAUAAGGACACUUGUCGUGGGAUAUGGGGCCCACCCUAAAUCCAGGAUGGUCUCAUUCGAAGAUCCCUAACUGAAUGAAUUCUGUAAAGACCCCUUUUCCAAUCAAGGCCGCAUUUACAGAUUCCCGACACGUCACUGGGAAGCCACCAUUUGGUCCUCAACAUCCCGUCUCCUCCGCCCCCAGAUGCGACGGCGUCUCAGCAGCGACUUGGAGCCAUGCAGGGUUUCUGUUGUGGUUGUUCACUUGGGUAAGCUUCCUGCUCUUACCGACAGUGGAUGACACACUCCCCACUCCCACGCCACUUCAUGUUCCUUCGGGAGCGGAGGGGGUUGGAAGAAUAAACACCCAGAUCUUCAAGACGUAAAGUCCCUUGCAGAGAACCCAGACCGGCCCCCUUAUUUAUGGAUGAGAAUCCUGAAGCCCAGAUUGUGGCUUUUGAACUAAGCUCACAAAUCCAUCUGAUUGUCUGCACCCUCGCCACCACCCUAGCCUCUGGCCCAACCUUUGCAGCAACAGGCCCUUCUCCCAGCAGCCGAUGGUGGCCUUUCUGCAAACCCCACG
RNAcentral lists this long non-coding RNA (2279 nucleotides) under Homo sapiens (human). Its description in RNAcentral is "non-protein coding lnc-MLYCD-2:4". The record is from RNAcentral. Lineage: Eukaryota; Metazoa; Chordata; Mammalia; Primates; Hominidae.